RNAcentral lists this ribosomal RNA (458 nucleotides) under uncultured bacterium. RNAcentral's name for it is "partial 16S ribosomal RNA". It matches the Rfam family "Bacterial small subunit ribosomal RNA", at positions 338 to 795 of the family's 1533-position model. The record is from RNAcentral.
CCUACGGGCGGCAGCAGUGGGGAAUAUUGCACAAUGGGGGAAACCCUGAUGCAGCGACGCCGCGUGAGUGAAGAAGUAUUUCGUUACGUAAAGCUCUAUCAGCAGGGAAGAAAUACUGACCUUACGGUCAGCAGACGGUACCUGAGUAAGCAGCACCGGCUAACUACGUGCUAGCAGCCGCGGUAAUACGUAGGUGGCAAGCGUUAUCCGGAGUUACGGGGGGUAAAGGGAGCGUAGACGGUGCGACAAGUCUGGAGUGAAAGGCCGCAGCUUAACCGUGGAACUGCAUUGGAAACUGGCGAACUAGAGUGCGGGAGGGGCAAGCGGAAUGCCUAGUGUAGCAGUGAAAUGCGUAGAUAGUAGGAGGAACACCGGUGGCGAAGGCGGCUUACUGGACAGUAACUGACGUUGAGGCUCGAAAGCGUGGGGAGCAAACAGGAUUAGAUACCCGAGUAGUC